CAACGUGAGCAACCUGCCUUUCANAGGGGGAGUAACAGUUGGAAACGACUGCUAAUACCGCAUAACGCUGCGAUGGGGCAUCCCGAUGCAGCCAAAGGAGCAAUCCGCUGGAAGAUGGGCUCGCGGCCGAUUAGCUAGUUGGUGGGGCAACGGCCCACCAAGGCGACGAUCGGUAGCCGGACUGAGAGGUUGAUCGGCCACAUUGGGACUGAGACACGGCCCAGACUCCUACGGAAGGCAGCAG
RNAcentral lists this ribosomal RNA (244 nucleotides) under uncultured bacterium. Its description in RNAcentral is "partial 16S ribosomal RNA". It matches the Rfam family "Bacterial small subunit ribosomal RNA", at positions 113 to 354 of the family's 1533-position model. The record is from RNAcentral.